Molecule: ribosomal RNA, 503 nt
Filed under: uncultured bacterium
Lineage: Bacteria
Description: partial 16S ribosomal RNA
Rfam family: Bacterial small subunit ribosomal RNA
Source: RNAcentral
AUUGAACGCUGGCGGCAGGCUUAACACAUGCAAGUCGAGCGGGGUGAUGGUGCUUGCACUAUCACUUAGCGGCGGACGGGUGAGUAAUGCUUAGGAAUCUGCCUAUUAGUGGGGGACAACAUCUCGACAGGGAUGCUAAUACCGCAUACGUCCUACGGGAGAAAGCAGGGGAUCACUUGUGACCUUGCGCUAAUAGAUGAGCCUAAGUCGGAUUAGCUAGUUGGUGGGGUAAAGGCCUACCAAGGCGACGAGCUGUAGCGGGUCUGAGAGGAUGAUCCGCCACACUGGGACUGAGACACGGCCCAGACUCCUACGGGAGGCAGCAGUGGGGAAUAUUGGACAAUGGGGGGAACCCUGAUCCAGCCAUGCCGCGUGUGUGAAGAAGGCCUUAUGGUUGUAAAGCACUUUAAGCGAGGAGGAGGCUCUUUUGGUUAAUGCCCAAGAUGAGUGGACGUUACUCGCAGAAUAAGCCCCGGCUAACUCUGUGCCAGCCGCCGCUGUAA